This 396-nucleotide ribosomal RNA is filed under the name uncultured bacterium. Its description in RNAcentral is "partial 16S ribosomal RNA". It matches the Rfam family "Bacterial small subunit ribosomal RNA", at positions 523 to 918 of the family's 1533-position model. The record is from RNAcentral.
AUACGUAGGGAGCGAGCGUUGUCCGGAAUUACUGGGUGUAAAGGGAGCGUAGGCGGGAGUGCAAGUCAGAUGUGAAAUACAUGGGCUCGACCCAUGGGCUGCAUUUGAAACUGGAUUUCUUGAGUGAAGUAGAGGUAAGCGGAAUUCUGGGUGUAGCGGUGAAAUGCGUAGAUAUUAGGAGGAACACCAGUGGCGAAGGCGGCUUGCUGGACGACAACUGACGCUGAGGCGCGAAAGCGUGGGGAGCAAACAGGAUUAGAUACCCUGGUAGUCCACGCCCUAAACGAUGAAUACUAGGUGUGGGGGGACUGACCCCUUCCGUGCCGGAGUAAACACAAUAAGUAUUCCACCUGGGGAGUACGACCGCAAGGUUGAAACUCAAAUGAAUUGGCGGGG